AUGAACAGCGAGCAGUUAAGAACUCAUUUGCAUAGCAUGGUUUACCUCAUCAGAAUCACCAAUUUCAUGGCUGCAUAUGAUCUUAAAAGCUGUUGCAAGUUUCAAAAGGUCCCAGUUCUCACAGUCAAUGCCAGAAACAUUCUUAAGGUGGCGACCAAUAGCUUGAAAGUUUUCAUACUGUUUCUUCUCAAAAGCAUCACAAUCAAACAAGACAGAUGCAGUCGCAACAAUCUGCUCAUUGACCUGGAUACAAAGAGGUUGCCAUCACUGAAACAAGAAUGCAAUGCCAUUUUAUUCUACAAAAUAUUGCGUCCAAAGGUUUGGUCUGUGAAAUGA
This 336-nucleotide ribosomal RNA is filed under the name Triticum aestivum (bread wheat). RNAcentral describes it as "partial small subunit ribosomal RNA". The record is from RNAcentral. Lineage: Eukaryota; Viridiplantae; Streptophyta; Magnoliopsida; Poales; Poaceae.